Molecule: small RNA, 146 nt
Filed under: Trabulsiella odontotermitis
Lineage: Bacteria; Pseudomonadati; Pseudomonadota; Gammaproteobacteria; Enterobacterales; Enterobacteriaceae
Description: RtT RNA
Rfam family: RtT RNA
About the family: This family represents a bacterial cis-regulatory element known as RtT RNA.
Source: RNAcentral
UUCCCGAGCAGCCAGAGGGAGUUGACGGUAAAUUUGUCGUCAUCGACUUCAAGGUUCGACUCGAGCGAUAGCGAGAGAACGUUGCCGCAGGCAACGGCCCGAAGGGUGAGGAGCUUUAGCUCCGAAUAAUCCUUCCCGAUAUCGAA